CCUACGGGGGGCAGCAGUCGGGAAUUUUGGGCAAUGGGCGAAAGCCUGACCCAGCAACGCCGCGUGAAGGAUGAAAUCCCUCGGGAUGUAAACUUCGCAGAAAAGAGAGCGGUAUCAUUUGUAAGCUCCGGCUAACUCCGUGCCAGCAGCCGCGGUAAUACGGGGGGAGCAAGCGUUGUUCGGAUUUACUGGGCGUAAAGGGCGCGUAGGCGGUAGCACAAGUCAGUUGUGAAAUCUCCGAGCUUAACUCGGAAAGGUCAACUGAAACUGUGCGACUAGAGUGCGGAAGGGGCAACUGGAAUUCUUGGUGUAGCGGUGAAAUGCGUAGAUAUCAAGAGGAACACCUGCGGCGAAGGCGGGUUGCUGGGCCGAACUGACGCUGAAGCGCGAAAGCCAGGGGAGCGAACGGGAUUAGAUACCCUUGUAGUC
This 429-nucleotide ribosomal RNA is filed under the name uncultured bacterium. Its description in RNAcentral is "partial 16S ribosomal RNA". It matches the Rfam family "Bacterial small subunit ribosomal RNA", at positions 338 to 795 of the family's 1533-position model. The record is from RNAcentral.